GACGGAGGGUGCUAGCGUUGUUCGGAAUUACUGGGCGUAAAGGGCGCGUAGGCGGCCUGGUCAGUCGGAUGUGAAAGCCCGGGACUCAACCCCGGAAUUGCCUUUAAGACUGCAUCGCUAGAAUCCAGGAGAGGUGAGUGGAAUUCCGAGUGUAGAGGUGAAAUUCGUAGAUAUUGGGAAGAACACCAGUGGCGAAGGCGGCUAACUGGUCCAGAUCUGACGCUGAGGUGCGAAAGCGUGGGGAGCAAACAGG
Molecule: ribosomal RNA, 253 nt
Filed under: uncultured bacterium
Lineage: Bacteria
Description: partial 16S ribosomal RNA
Rfam family: Bacterial small subunit ribosomal RNA
Source: RNAcentral